RNAcentral lists this ribosomal RNA (1162 nucleotides) under Aguriahana triangularis. RNAcentral's name for it is "16S ribosomal RNA". Lineage: Eukaryota; Metazoa; Arthropoda; Insecta; Hemiptera; Cicadellidae. The record is from RNAcentral.
UUUUUAAAUUAUUUAUAUAUAUAUUUUUUUUUAUUGUUUUAGUAUAGUAAGAAAUUAUUUUUAUUAAUUCUUUACAGGGUAUUUUUAUAAUUUUAUUAGAUUUUUAUAGUACCUUUUGUAUCAGGGUGAAUUAAUUAAUUUAUUUAUUUAUUAUUCCCGAAAUUAAAAGGUCAAUUAAAAUUUUAUUUUAUUUAUUUUAAAAAGUAGUUAAAAUUUUUUUUUGUAGAGAUAUUCUAUUCGAUUUUAAUUAUAUCUGGUUAUUUAAGAAUAAAUUAAAUUUUUUUUUUAUUAUUUUAAUAAAUAAUUAAUAAGGGAUAAUCUUUAUUAAUUUAUAAAAUUUUUAUUUAAGAUACUUUUAAUAUUUUUUAUAUUUUAUAUUUAGUUAUUAACAUAUUAUAGUAUUWUGAUUUUGAUUUUUUUUAAUUUAUUUUUUUAUUAAGUUUAUUUAUAAAAUUUAUUUAUAAUUUUAAUUUUGGUUUAAUUAGUAAAAAAUUUUAAUUUAAAAUUUAAUGAAUUCAACAAAUAUAAUUUUCAACUGUUUAUCAAAAACAUUUUUUUUAGUUUUUAUUAAAGGUAAAUUCUGCCCCAUGAAGAUUUAAAUGGCUGCAGUAUUUUAACUGUACAAAGGUAGCAUAAUAAUUAGUUUUUUAAUUGAGGACUGGAAUGAAAGAAUUAAUGAGAAAUUAAUUUUAUUAAUUUUAAUUUUUAAAUUUUAUUUCUAGGUAAAAAAUCUUAGUUGAUUUUUUGGGACGAAAAGACCCUAUAGAACUUUAUUUAAUAUUUUUAAAUUAAGUUUUAAUAUUUUAUUUAUUUUUUAAAUUAAAUUUUGUUGGGGUGAUGGAUAAAUUAAACUUUAUUUUACUUUUACAUUAAUAUAUGUUUAUUUUGACUUUCACAUUUUGUAUCAAAAGAAAAAGUUACCUUAGGGAUAACAGCGUAAUUUUUAUGGGGAGUUCAUAUCUAUAUAAAAGUUUGCGACCUCGAUGUUGAAUUAAGAUAAAUAAAAGAAGAAGUAUUUUUUAUAUUAAGUCUGUUCGACUUUUAAAUUCUUACAUGAUUUGAGUUCAAACCGGUGUAAGCCAGGUUGGUUUCUAUCUUGAAAUUAUUACUUAAUUUAGUACGAAAGGACCAAUUAGUUUAUUAUUAAUAUAAAAUUUUAUUA